Molecule: ribosomal RNA, 2613 nt
Filed under: Triticum aestivum (bread wheat)
Lineage: Eukaryota; Viridiplantae; Streptophyta; Magnoliopsida; Poales; Poaceae
Description: partial small subunit ribosomal RNA
Source: RNAcentral
AUGCACGCUGCCCUCCGCAAGGUCGGGGACGUGCCACGGGACCAGCUCGACGAGCAAGUCAAGCUCUGGGCAAAUGAGGUCAGAGAUCUUUCAUACAGAAUGGAGGAUACCAUCGACAAGUUCCUGGUAGGUGUCGAGGGCCCUGAGCUUGACGACAAGCCGUACAAGCUCAAACAACUCAUCAAGAAGAUGGGCGACUUGUUCACCAAGGGGAAGACACGCCAUGUCAUCGCAAAAGAGAUCAAACGCAUCAAGGCCCGCGUCCAGGGGGCUGCUGACCGGCGUGAUAGGUACAGGGUCCACGAGGUGGUUGCUAAUCCAGUUGGCGGAACCACGGUGGAGCCUCGCCUGUUGGCUCUAUACAAGGAUAGGAAAGAGCUUGUUGGCAUUGAUGAUUCAUUGAAUGAGCUGACCAAGAAGCUGAGUGUCGGGGAUGGUGAUGUGUCCAAACAACUCAAGAUACUCUCUGUUUUCGGAUUUGGAGGCCUUGGCAAGACAACUCUUGCCAAUGCAGUGUAUCAUAAGCUCAAAGUGCAGUUUGAUUGCAGCGCUUUUGUUCCAGUAGGACGGAACCCUAGCAUGAAGAAACUUCUCAAUGACAUUCUCUUUGGAAUUGACAAGAAAAUGUACCUUGAGUUGGAUGAAAGGCAGCUGAUCGACAAACUCCGUGUAUUUCUCGAGGACAAGAGGUACUUGAUUGUCAUUGAUGACAUAUGGGAUAAAAAAACAUGGGAGCUAGUCAAGACAGCUUUGGUGUGUAAUAAUUGUGGAAGUAGGAUAAUCACAACUACUCGUAUACUCGAAGUCGCCACAAGGGCCGGUGAAGUAUACAGGCUACAACCACUUUCUCGUUAUUUAUCUGAGGAUUUAUUUGAUAGAAUAUUAUUUGGUGGUACAAUAAAACGUCCUAAUCAUCUCCCAGCAGAGGUAUAUGAUAAAAUUUUACAUAAAUGUGGGGGUGUGCCAUUGGCUAUAAUCACAAUAGCUAGUUUGCUCGUCAAUAAACCAGUGGAGCUUUGGUCGAAGGUAUACACAUCAAUCGGUUUUGGGCAUGAAGAAAACGAAGAAGUGGAGAACACGAGGAAAAUACUUUUAUUCAGCUAUUAUGAUCUACCUUAUCACCUGAAGACUUGUUUAUUGUAUUUGAGCAUAUACCCCGAAGAUCAUCUGAUUGAAAAAGAUAGUCUGAUAUGGAAGUGGUUUGGUGAAGGUUUUAUCCAUGAAGAACCAGGUGUAGGACUAUUCGAGAUUGGUGAGAGGUACUUCAACGGGUUGGUAAACAGAAGCAUGAUAAUACCAGUAGAGACCCUGGAUUUUGGCAUGGAAAUGCAUGAUGGCAUCAUAACUGGAUGUCGCGUCCAUGACAUAAUGCUUGAUAUGAUAUGUCUAUUAUCAAAGGAAGAAAACUUUGUUACUGUAUUGGACAGUAACGAGCAAUAUACAACUUUACAUUGCAAUGCUCAUAGGCUAGGUGUUCAUCGCAGGGUCCAACCUCUGGCUAGCACAUCCACGUUCCAUGCAAGAUCACUUGAUGCCAUGUGCAAUGUUGAGUUAUCGCCAUCACAUUCAUGCUUUGAAGUUUUGCGUGUCCUAGCUUUGGAAGGCAACAAUUUUUCAAACAAAUGUAACCAUCUUGACCAUGUUGGAAAGUUAGUUCACUUGAGGCACCUCAGAGUAGCGAGCAUGGGUAUAUGUGAGCUCCCAAAGGAAAUAGGACAUCUAAAUUUCUUGCUGGUAUUGGAUUUGGGUGGAAAUAGAAUAAGAAAACUUCCAGAGAGUAUUGGUCGACUAAGUCAACUCAAGUGCUUGAACAUCUGCAAAACAAAUGUUGAAGUGCCAUACUGGAUCGGAAAUUUGACAUCUCUCGAAGAGCUAUGCCUACAAAAAAUUAAUAUGGACUCGAACUUUGUGACAGAGUUGGGCAAGCUAACAGAGUUGAGGAAGCUCCGCAUUUCUGAAGGUUUAGUUAUUUAUGAUGAUACUGCACUGAAUAGUUGGGCAAAGUCUGUAGCCAAAGUGAGCAAGAUCCAAGUCAUAGACAUUGGUUUUGUACUCGUGUAUAGACGUUCCAGUCAUGCCGACAACCCCUGGGAACAGAAUGUCCUUCCUCCACAACUUUGUGUUCUACACAUGGCCUACGAAGAACCUGGGCUAGUGGCAAUGAUCAAUCCACGGGUUCUUCCGAACCUGUCCCGUUUAAAACUGUAUCUAUUUAGUCCAGAACUGGAGGUCUUCGGAUGUUUCCGAGAGCUCGUUACCCUCGAGCUGAAAAUGGUGUCAGCUCUCCACCAUGACACUAUGGGUGGUGCAGAUGCUUUCCCCAAGCUGAGAGUCUUCAAGACACAAGCAACGCUUGGCUCGUUUCAAGAGGGAGAUAUGCCGGUCCUUGAAUUUCUCCGGUUCAGCGCCGUAGCACAGUCCAAUGAUGAUGACGUUAGCUUUGACUUUGACUUUGGUAGCCUAGGGAACCUUCCUCUGCUCCAGGAGGUCACGGUAGAUUUAUUCGUUAGUGCUGAUCACAAGAAGGCCGAGGAAACGGCGAAGAAUGCAAUUGAUAUGCUUCCCAACCGUAUCACACAUUAUAUCAUACCAAAGUCCCAAGCGAGCAAUUGA